GAUGAACGCUGGCGGCGUGCCUAAUACAUGCAAGUCGAACGAAACUUCUUUAUCACCGAGUGCUUGCACUCACCGAUAAAGAGUUGAGUGGCGAACGGGUGAGUAACACGUGGGCAACCUGCCCAAAAGAGGGGGAUAACACUUGGAAACAGGUGCUAAUACCGCAUAACCAUAGUUACCGCAUGGUAACUACGUAAAAGGUGGCUAUACUACCGCUUUUGGAUGGGCCCGCGGCGCAUUAGCUAGUUGGUAGGGUAAAGGCUUACCAAGGCAAUGAUGCGUAGCCGAAUUGAGAGGUUGAUCGGCCACAUUGGGACUGAGACACGGCCCAAACUCCUACGGGAGGCAGCAGUAGGGAAUCUUCCACAAUGGGCGAAAGCCUGAUGGAGCAACGCCGCGUGGGUGAAGAAGGUCUUCGGAUCGUAAAACCCUGUUGUUAGAGAAGAAAGUGCGUGAGAGUAACUGUUCACGUUUCGACGGUAUCUAACCAGAAAGCCACGGCUAACUACGUG
RNAcentral lists this ribosomal RNA (512 nucleotides) under uncultured bacterium. RNAcentral describes it as "partial 16S ribosomal RNA". It matches the Rfam family "Bacterial small subunit ribosomal RNA", at positions 28 to 507 of the family's 1533-position model. The record is from RNAcentral.